GCGGAGCGGCUGGUUGUUAAUUUUUUGCGUGCGGAAAAAUAGCAUAUCUAACUUGUGCUUUUAUUCCGAAUGCUAGCUUAAAGAAAUUGCUGAAUUGUGCUUUUUUGCAGUACAUAUUUACAUAGUGAAAAUUCAAAACGCAAUAGAAGACCAAGAAACGCGUGAUUUACAUCAAUGGCCCUUCGAGAAAGCCAAUUUUCAUACGAGCCAUUUUCCAGCCAUAGGCGAUAACUUAUUCUUCAAUAUGUUUCACGAUCCCGUUGUACUGAAUGAGCCAUCAUGUAGCAAUCUAGAUUUGCCAAUUUUCCACGCAAUUUUACAAAAUUGUUCUCAACUCAGAUCGUCAAUACAUCUCCGCAACUAUUCGAAAUGGACUUUAGCAGCGAUGAUUCUAUCAGAGAACCCGACUAUAUUGUUUCAAGUGCGAUCACGGAAUCAGAAAAGGAGAAUCAACCUGUUUAUAUUUCGGAGUCAAUAUUAGAGAGUCCAUAUGCCGAUACUGAUGAAAAUGUCCAAAAAUUUACUCAACCUCCCAAAAAUAUAAAAAAAGACAGACAAUUAAAUAGAAAUUCGGGAAGAUCGUACACCACGAAAAAAGGAAAAGUGGUUGCUGGUCGCAAGUGCCUACCUUUCGAAAGUUGCCCAAAGAAAUGCGCUCUGAAAGUACCUUUUGAAAAACAAAAGCACAUUUUUGAGGAAUAUUGGAGAAUGGGCGACUACAAAUCAAGGCUAUUUUUAUACUCUCGCAACAAAGUUGCUAAAGAGAGUAUUAUAGUUUUGUUCACAUAACGGUUGUUUGUAAGUCCUAAAACUAAAAGAGUCCGAUAUAGGGUUAUAUAUACCAAAGUGAUCAGGGUGACGAGUAGAGUUGAAAUCCGGAUGUCUGUCUGUCCGUCCGUCCGUCUGUCCGUCCGUCCGUGCAAGCUGUAACUUGAGUAAAAGUUGAGAUAUCGUGAUGAAACUUGAUACACGUAUUUCUUGGCUCCAUAAGAAGGUUAAGUUCGAAGAUGGGCAAAAUCGGCCCACUGCCACGCCCACAAAAUGGCGGAAACCGAAAACCUAUAAAGUGUCAUAACUAAGCCAUAAAUAAAGAUAUUAAAAUGAAAUUUGCCACAAAAGAUCACAUUAGGGAAGGGCAUAUUUGAACGUAAUUUUUUUGGAAAAGUGGGCGUGGCCCCGCCCCCUACUAAGUUUUUUGUACAUAUCUCGGAAACUACUAUAGGUAUGUCAACCAAACUCUAUAGACUCGUUUCUUUCAGGCAUUUCCAUAUACAGUUUAAAAAUGGAAGAAAUCGGAUAAUAACCACGCCCACCGCCCAUACAAAGGUUAUGUUGAAAAUCACUAAAAGUGCGUCAACCGACUAACAAAAAACGUCAGAAACACAAAAUUUUACGGAAGAAAUGGCAGAAGGAAGCUGCAUCCAGGCUUUUUUUUUAAAUUGAAAAUGGGCGUGGCGUCGCCCACUUAUGGACCAAAAACCAUAUCUCAGGAACUACUCUACCGAUUUCAAUGAAAUUCGGUACAUAAUAUUUUCUUAACACCCUGAUGACAUGUACGAAAUAUGGAUGAAAUCGGUUCACAAUCACGCCUUCUUCCAAUAUAACGCUAUUUUGAAUUCCAUCUGAUGCCUUCUCUGUAUAAUAUAUACAUUAGAAACCAACUUUACUCAAAUACGGUAUGUGAGCUGAGGUAUUCCUUGUGGAAAAAUUGUUGUGAUCGGACUAUAACUUUUCAAGGUCCCUGAUAUCGAACACGAAGAACUCAGUGCCCAACCUAACCUAACCUAAUUUUUCACCGAAAAUAUCGGUAGAUCUCUCAGAAUUUAUUUCUAAUUAAUUUUACAGCAAAAUAAAAAAAUAUGUAAAUGACGGAUAAUGAAAUCUCGAUUAUCACUUCAUCGUGCGAGAGUAUAAAAUGUUCGGUGACACCCGAACUUAGCCCUUCCUUACUUGUUCAUUUGUGGACUCGUCGAAAUUGUCGAAAAGCUAUCUGAAAAAAAAUCAACUAGAACGAAAAUUCGACGAAUAACAAACUAUUAUUCUGUAAAUAUUGAUAGCGACAAAGUUGACGUCUGUAAAGGUUGUUUUUUGAAGUGCUUUGGAGAAACAAACAGUUUUUUGAGGAAUGUGAUUGAAAAGAAACUUAAUUAUCCAAAAUCACCAUUGGCCGAUAAGAGAGGCAAGUCCACUCCAAUAAACAAGCUAAACGAAUCACAGGUCGAAACUAAAUAUUUAAGCUCCGACUUGUCAAUAUCAAAAAUGUACAGUUUGAAUGGCGAAGACGUUGAAACUCCUAUAAGUUUAGCAAAAUAUUCAGAAAUUUUCCACACAAUGAACUUAAAAUUCAAACAACCGAAACUUGAUACUUGUAAUAAAUGUGACUGCUUUAAAUCCCAAUUAGACCACAUCAAUAAAAAUAUGCCAGAAUAUACAAUGCUGAUUGAAAAACAAGCAAGGCAUCGCGCAGAUGCAGAUAGAGCUUAUAAAUCAAAGGAUUUUGAUAAAGAUCUGCCAAAAACUCACAUAAAUAUAAAAACGUACACAUUUGAUUUGCAGCAAGUUUUACCAACUCCUUACCUCAAAACCUCAGUCUGCUACUAUAAGAGGCAAUUGA
Molecule: long non-coding RNA, 2614 nt
Organism: Bactrocera dorsalis (oriental fruit fly)
Lineage: Eukaryota; Metazoa; Arthropoda; Insecta; Diptera; Tephritidae
Exons: 3
Source: RefSeq, a predicted model, not a curated record